Dicentrarchus labrax (European seabass) is the source of this 139-nucleotide small nucleolar RNA. Ensembl annotates it as small nucleolar RNA, C/D box 10. Its record names the gene SNORD10. NCBI's taxonomy places the organism in Eukaryota, Metazoa, Chordata, Actinopteri, Moronidae. The record is from Ensembl.
UGUAUAAUGAUGAUUCCAUGCGUGUCAGCUGACUCUGUAAACCCUCAUUGUGGUGUUGCUCUAGCUGGUGUUCUGCUAGCUUCAGUCCUCAGUGCAGCAGGGGUCCAGAGAUAUGAUCAAAUCCUUUCUUCUGAAUACA